Vicia villosa (hairy vetch) is the source of this 1422-nucleotide long non-coding RNA. RefSeq lists it as uncharacterized. The record is from RefSeq and is a predicted model, not a curated record. The transcript has 2 exons. NCBI's taxonomy places the organism in Eukaryota, Viridiplantae, Streptophyta, Magnoliopsida, Fabales, Fabaceae.
UUAAUGCUCAGCCUUCUUAACAAACUCAAUUAAUCAAUUCCAAUAACCUCAAUUAAUUCACAUUAAUCCAAUUAAAACCAAAUGAUUAAGCAAAGGGGAUUAGAAUUAGGUUUACGUGAAUGAUUACUGAACUUGGACCUUUUUCCUUCGCUCACUCAAAACGCGGCGGAACUCCUCCUCUUCUCAGAUCAACACUCGAACGCCGCCGCUGAUCCUUACCAAUGAGAACAAUGCUCUCGUCUCAGCCUCACUUCGUCUCUCAACUCUGAACGGCGCGGCAAUUCAACUCUCGCUCUCUCUCGCGAACAACGGCGGCGAUGGUGACCUCAACCUUACUCCGAUCAUCAUUUCCGGUUCAAUGCCAUCACCGCUCACUCUCUCAUUCUCGUCUUCAACCUUUUCUGUUGUUGUUGUUAUCGUGUUGAUUGGAGAUUGAAGAAGAUAUAACGGAAACGGUCAAAGCUUGUAAAGCUUCCGCGGAUCGUAGAUGAAGGUAUUGUUGCCGUUGUUUGCUGAGACGGAGGAUGUGCGAUUGGAGAUUUGUGAAUCGUCAACAAAGAAGAUUGUUGAUGGAUGAUGUUGAUUCAGUCGCAAUGAGAUAGAUGAAGGCGAUGAUUUGGCGGUUGCGGCAUCGCAGAUUUAUGAUGAAGCUUUGAAGAUUGAAGAUGAGAUCGUGGAUUCAGAAUUUGCUUACGUUUCUUGCAUCGAACUGAGGAUGAUGAAGUUUCAGGUGAGUUCUUGAGAUUGAAUCAAUCCUAUGCUGAAUUUUCUGUGGUGAGUUUGAGAAGUUGAAGACUGAAGAUUUUGUUUCGGUUAGAGUUUGCUGGAAGAUCAAUAGCGUGUCAAUUGAAGUGUUGAAGGUGAUGGUUAUGAUGAUGAACGUUGCUGAUGAAGAUGAAGAUUCAAGGGAUGAUCGAGAGAGAGGUUGAAGAAGUUUGUUACAUUUUUCUGAAUUGUGAUGUAUGAAUCGCAGAGAGAGUGUGAAGAGAAGGUUCAAGAUGAUGAAGAUGAUUGAAGAACGAAUGGGAGAGAGUUUUUUUCCUGCAAAAGUUUGUUACGUUUUUUUUUGUGAAUUCUGUUAUGCUCCCUUUUUCUGAAUUUCCUUUCUUCUGCCAUUUUUUGUUAUGCCGUCUUUGUGAAUCCUGUUUUGGAUCGAACCGGCUUCGGUUUAUCCUAUUGGCAUCGGUUCUGGAAUUUUUCACUACAUCUCAUGGCUUGCUAUAUUGGAAUUGAAGGAUUUUAAAAAUGGAAAAGUUGGGACGUGGCCAAAGGGAGAUUAUCCUUUAUUAGACUUAUGUUUUUAUGUAGUUCUCUUUGUAUGGCUUUUGUAAUGGACACAGGGAUGUAUGAACUUUGUAAUUUUUGUAACGAAUUUUCAAUGGGCGUUUUUGUAUGGAUAUUGGAAUUGGAUUGAAUUAUGAA